CCAGAGCACCGACGCACACACAUGGCCAGACCCACAGACUUCUGCAGCUCCUUGUUUUUUGUUUUUCAGGGAGGCGCCUCUACACCAGCAUAGGCGCACACGUUCUCCACACACACGCACAAUGGAAAACAGAAAACGAAGCUGGACUCGAAAAGCGUUCACACACACACACACACAGGCACACGUGCAUCAAUGACGGUAUUGAACUCGUUCAUAUCGAUGAGUGCGCGCCGUCAACUCUCUUCCUCCCCACCCCUCUCGUCCUUCCCUUGUGUCGGCGUCGGGGAGCAGUUGAGCCUCUCGGGUGAUGGUUGAUAGUCGAGGGGAGCACAACGCAUCAUCUGCAUUAUCACCGCUAUAUGUAGAUAUGAAUAUAAUAUAGUUAUCGAUUUCUAUAGAUUCCGGAUGCUAUCGUCUUUUCCUCUUUUCGUUGCAGAAAGUGAAGGGUCAGGCUCGUCAGUGUCAGCCUUCCUCGACGAACGGGCACCUACGCACGUGGGGGCCCACUGGCCUGCUUGCGUUUUCGCAUCUGCAGCAGCGGCAUUAAGGGUCGCGAUGUUUAUUGCUCAUGAGAUGCACGCACGUGAGGGGUGCUUGCUUCCCCGAGACUCACACGCAUACAUCCAUGUUCCGGUAGUGCACGUGUUUUCCGUUCCCUCUUGGUCAGGGGCUCUCCUCCCUCUCUCCUCAGGCCGGACCAGGCGAGACUCGAUAGGCCGAAGAGGGUGUGAGAGAGAGCGGCUUCCCACACACGCCCAUGUCGUAAGCAGCCAUGCACAGGCUAAGCAGACACAUAUGAUGUGUGUGCUGAACGCAGCUACUUAUCCGUGGACAGACAUGAACGUGUUGCGCGCGCGUAACUUCCGCCCUCGCAUUCACCCGCGUCGAUUUCCGUUUCGCGGAACAGAGAUGGCAGAGGACUUAUCCAGCUUGGCUUCCAUGCAUACCAUUGCAUGGCACGCGUGUGACAAGUGGUGUAGAAAGUCAAUAUCAUCGCCCAUGCCCGGCUUCUCUCCUGCAAAACUUCCUCUCCUCGGACGCUGCAG
This 1046-nucleotide unclassified non-coding RNA is filed under the name Leishmania donovani. Its description in RNAcentral is "gene:unknown". Lineage: Eukaryota; Euglenozoa; Kinetoplastea; Trypanosomatida; Trypanosomatidae. The record is from RNAcentral.